UACGAAGGGGGCUAGCGUUGCUCGGAAUCACUGGGCGUAAAGGGUGCGUAGGCGGGUCUUUAAGUCAGGGUGAAAUCCUGGAGCUCAACUCCAGAACUGCCUUUGAUACUGAGGAUCUUGAGUUCGGGAGAGGUGAGUGGAACUGCGAGUGUAGAGGUGAAAUUCGUAGAUAUUCGCAAGAACACCAGUGGCGAAGGCGGCUCACUGGCCCGAUACUGACGCUGAGGCACGAAAGCGUGGGGAGCAACAGG
This 251-nucleotide ribosomal RNA is filed under the name uncultured bacterium. Its description in RNAcentral is "partial 16S ribosomal RNA". It matches the Rfam family "Bacterial small subunit ribosomal RNA", at positions 524 to 775 of the family's 1533-position model. The record is from RNAcentral.